CGACCGGCGCACGGUGAGUAACGCGUAUCCAACCUGCCCACCACUUGGGAUAACCUUGCGAAAGUAAGACUAAUACCCAAUGAUAUCUCUAGAAGACAUCUGAAAGAGAUUAAAGAUUUAUCGGUGAUGGAUGGGGAUGCGUCUGAUUAGCUUGUUGGCGGGGUAACGGCCCACCAAGGCGACGAUCAGUAGGGGUUCUGAGAGGAAGGUCCCCCACAUUGGAACUGAGACACGGUCCAA
This 240-nucleotide ribosomal RNA is filed under the name uncultured bacterium. RNAcentral's name for it is "partial 16S ribosomal RNA". It matches the Rfam family "Bacterial small subunit ribosomal RNA", at positions 92 to 334 of the family's 1533-position model. The record is from RNAcentral.